Molecule: RNA transcript, 2812 nt
Organism: Setaria italica (foxtail millet)
Lineage: Eukaryota; Viridiplantae; Streptophyta; Magnoliopsida; Poales; Poaceae
Exons: 11
Source: RefSeq, a predicted model, not a curated record
CUGCGCCGCCUCCUUCCUCGGUCACCAACUCCCCCAGUGGCCAGUGCAGUGUCCUGCACGCGUGCAUGAGCGAUGAGAGCUCUCUCAUCGCCCGCCGCCUCCUUCCUCCCGGGAAUCCUCAAUCCCAGCGCAAAUCCUAACCCUCGCGCGCCUCUCCGUUCGGCGGUGGCGGCGCUCUCGCGGGGCCCUUGCCCUUCCGGCCGCUCCGUCGCCGCCGCGGCUGCCGCCGCCACCGGGGACCACUGGGGCGCCGACCACUACCACGGCGGCGGCCACGCGAGCUCGCAGGAGGCCGCGGCCCGUGCGGCGCACGGCGUGAAGUGCGACGUGGACGUGGUGUCGUGGCGGGAGCGGCGGGUGCUCGGGUCCGUGGCCGUGGCCGCCGACGUCGACACCCUGUGGCAGGUCAUCACCGACUACGAGCGCCUAGCCGACUUCAUCCCCAACCUCGUCCAGAGCGGGAGGAUUCCGUGCCCGCACGAAGGGCGGAUAUGGCUGGAGCAGAGGGGACUGCAGCAGGCGUUGUACUGGCACAUCGAGGCCCGCGUCGUGUUGGAUCUCCAGGAAGUCCCUGAUUCCAUUAAUGGACGAGAACUCCAUUUCUCAAUGGUAGAUGGUGACUUCAAGAAGUUUGAAGGAAAAUGGUCCAUCAGAUCUGGUCCAAGCAGGUCCUCUAGUGCAAUUUUGCUGUAUGAAGUUAAUGUGAUACCAAGAUUUAACUUCCCGGCAAUAUUUCUUGAGAGGAUUAUAAGGUCGGAUCUUCCUGUAAAUCUUCGGGCCUUGGCUUGUAGAGCUGAAAAGAUUUAUUUAGAAAAUCAAAGAUGUGGUUUUUCUGCUGUGGAUUCGAAGCCAUCGUCCACUUCUUCUCAGCUUAAGUUCCAUAGUUCAACAAUUGAUACUACUUCUAGUAAGUUCAAAGAAGCACCUCCCACUUCUGGUGUUGGUAGUGUGCUUCCGUCACCUUCUUCUGAGUUGAUUGGCAAAUGGGGUGUAUAUGGAAACACAUGCAGAAUUGAUAGGCCUUGUGUGGUGGAUGAGAUCCAUCUUCGAAGAUUUGAUGGCCUCUUGGAACAUGAGGGGGCUCACAGGUGUGUUUUUGCUAGUAUCACUGUGAAAGCACCAGUUCGAGAGGUAUGGAAUGUUCUCACGGCAUAUGAGAAUUUACCUGAAUUUGUGCCAAACCUGGCUAUCAGUAGGAUUGUCCUUCGUGAUAAUAACAAGGUCCGCAUAAUGCAGGAGGGUUGCAAAGGCCUACUGUAUAUGGUCCUUCAUGCCCGUGUUGUUAUGGAUCUUCGCGAAAAACUUGAGGAAGAGAUCAGCUUUGAACAAGUUGAGGGUGAUUUCUACUCAUUCAAAGGGAAAUGGCGCUUUGAACAACUUGGUGAUCAGCACACCUUGUUGAAGUACAUGGUUGAGACUAAAAUGCAUAAGGACACAUUUCUCUCUGAGUCUAUUCUUGAAGAGAUCAUAUAUGAGGACCUUCCGUCAAACUUGUGUGCAAUCCGUGAUUAUAUUGAAAAGGCUGGAGCUGAAGGCAGCAACUCCACAACUCAUUCUGCUGCACCAACACACCCAGAUAUUGAUCAUGCAGAAGACAGGCAAUCAGAGAAAGAAUCUGCAUCUUGCUCCUUCAGUUCCAUGAAACAGAGACCAAAAGUCCCUGGCUUGCAAAAGGACAUUGAGGUCCUCAAAUCUGAGCUUGAGAAUUUCAUUGCUAAGUACGGUCAGGAUGGUUUCAUGCCUAAGAGAAAGCAUCUUCGGUCUCAUGGAAGGGUGGAUAUCGAGAAGGCAAUAACACGAAUGGGUGGAUUCAGGAAGAUUGCCAGCACAAUGAACCUUUCCCUUUCUUACAAAAAUCGAAAACCAAGAGGUUAUUGGGAUAAUCUGGAGAACUUGCAAGAAGAGAUCAGUCGGUUCCAGAAGAGCUGGGGGAUGGAUCCUUCUUAUAUGCCAAGUAGAAAAUCUUUUGAGAGAGCAGGUCGUUACGACAUUGCUCGGGCAUUGGAAAAAUGGGGUGGCGUGCAGGAGGUUUCACGCCUUCUUUCUCUUGAACUAAGGCGGCCUAGAAGGCAAGCUGACUCUGAUGAUGAGAGGCAGUCUGAAUCACCAGCUGGCAGUGGCAUUACAAAGCAGCAUGGAAUGAAACCUGAUAAAGCCAACACGUCCCUGGACGCACAUAAAUGGCUCCUGAAGCUGAAGGAUUUGGAUGUUAACUGGGUGGAAUAUUAGAUUAAUAAGCUUCGAAAAAGAAAUGCUGUAAAUUGGAGGUGAUCUGGAAGCAUUCUUUUCCAUCGUUGGAGGUGAUCUGGAAGCAUUCUUUCAAAGAAGCUGUAAAUUGUGUACAGAAAAAUUGCAAUGCACAGGCCAACCCAUGCUGAAAGGUUACAGGCAACAGGUUUUCAUUUGUCAACUGUCAUGACUCUUGGUCCUCAAGUGUUACUUAUCUAGAAGUGUCGACUACUACUCCCAGCUUUGUUGCAGUCAAAUUGAUCCGUGGAUUUGACCAAAGACAAACCACUAAACGCAAAUGGGGGUGUUGAUUGCAUGUACCUGUUCAAAGGUGUUUAGAGUCAGAAAGAGAAGGUUACUGUCCAGUAGUUUCAAUCAGCACGGUUACAUUAGUCUGUCAGGCACAGUUACCUUCGGUGUUCCCUGCUUCAUGGCAAGUAAGGUAAUGAGCCGGCGAGGACGUUCGUCAACGAAGGGGCAUGAUGGUUUGCUUCGACAGGUAAUAUGUUGUUGGCUAUUAGCGGGUUUUGCUUGAGAAAUCAGAUUACUAGAAACCGAACUUUAAAAAAUUUAAUUUUCUUAA